This 657-nucleotide unclassified non-coding RNA is filed under the name Hevea brasiliensis (rubber tree). The record is from RNAcentral. Lineage: Eukaryota; Viridiplantae; Streptophyta; Magnoliopsida; Malpighiales; Euphorbiaceae.
UUUGGAACGCAAGGAUGCAGGCAUGUAUGUGUACUUUCAGAAGCUGUAGUUUUAUUUGCUCUUCUUAAAUUGAAGAACAUAAGCCCUUGCGUUCAAAAUUACUGAAUACAUAUUUGCAUAUUUUUGUUAUUUGAUUUGUUAUUAGAGUGUCAAACUGGGUUAUGAAAUUCUAAGCUGUUUUUAAUAAUCUGAAGUCUGUGCGUGUUUGCAAGUUUCAUGUAUAUGCUUGUAGUUGUUGGAAGAUAUUUUAGGUCGUCUGGGAAUGAGCAAAGAUGACAUUUAUAGAAAGCUGUUUUAAGGGAGUUCUUACAACCAUCCACUUGUACAACUCCCAUACCGAGCUAGAGUAUCUUAAGAGAGUUUAAGUAGUAUGACCUCGUCACGGUGGUUAGAGUAAUACUAGAUAAUCAUGAAAUAUUGUUGGAUAGGCUAAGCACAAUUUCCUUUUUCUUUAUUGGCUACUGCACAAAAUUUGAUAGCAUGCACUGUAUUGCUUUUUUUAUUUUUGCAUCAUGAAGUGGUGUACUACACUUUUCUUUCUGUAUAACUGGUGCAGCUUGUUUCAUAUUUUUCAUGAGUCAUGACAUCUCCUAUAUAGUCUGUUUCUCUUCUACAUUCAUAAUACUCUUCUUACUCACCUGUAAAAAUGCACAAGAA